Molecule: ribosomal RNA, 266 nt
Filed under: uncultured bacterium
Lineage: Bacteria
Description: partial 16S ribosomal RNA
Rfam family: Bacterial small subunit ribosomal RNA
Source: RNAcentral
CCAGCAGCCGCGGUAAUACGGAGGGUGCGAGCGUUGUUCGGAAUUAUUGGGCGUAAAGCGCACGUAGGCGGUCGGAUAAGUCUCUUGGUGAAAGGCCGGGGCUCAACCCCGUGCUUGCCGGAGAUACUGUUCGACUGGAGACAGGGAGAGGCCAGUGGAAUUCCGGGUGUAGCGGUGGAAUGCGUAGAGAUCCGGAAGAACACCGGAGGCGAAGGCGGCUGGCUGGCCCUGAUCUGACGCUGAGGUGCGAAAGCGUGGGGAGCGAA